GUAGUCGGAUUCACAUUAAUCCACAUGUGUUGAGGUGGAUUGGAAUAGAAUUUGAACUAAAUUCCACUACAAUCCACUCCAACCCAUGUGGAUUGAGGUGAAUCCGACA
MicroRNA precursor from Sorghum bicolor (sorghum), 109 nucleotides. It matches the Rfam family "MIR5565 microRNA precursor family". The record is from Rfam. Lineage: Eukaryota; Viridiplantae; Streptophyta; Magnoliopsida; Poales; Poaceae.